Xyrauchen texanus (razorback sucker) is the source of this 430-nucleotide long non-coding RNA. RefSeq lists it as uncharacterized. The record is from RefSeq and is a predicted model, not a curated record. NCBI's taxonomy places the organism in Eukaryota, Metazoa, Chordata, Actinopteri, Cypriniformes, Catostomidae. The transcript has 3 exons.
AGAUCUGUUUCAUUUCCAAGCAAAAGACAUUUAGAACUGCAAAAGUGAUCUUUUGCCAACAAAGUGAGUUUACUUUUUUCCUUUUGUUUUUCAAUUUAUUGUGCUGAUAUCUUCUUGGGACCUUAUACUCAACCUCUAUUAUGGAUCAAGCCAAAAUCUUUUAAAGAUAUAAUUUACUGCACAAAAAGUAAUACAGGUGUUUGACUCAGUGGAGAUAGUGAAUCCAGAUGGACACACACAGGAGAAACCACCCAUGAUAUUAUUACAUGAGUGGGAGCAAGGAGAACUGACUGCACAUUCAUCCUCAUCUAAGGCACUUACCAACACUUGGUGGAAUGUUGUCAACAUGGGCCUCCAGUGUGCUGGUGCCCUCCUCUGCAUUCUCUGUGAUAUUGGCCUCCAGAAAGGCCACUCCAAACUCCUUCUCAUU